RNAcentral lists this unclassified non-coding RNA (746 nucleotides) under Hevea brasiliensis (rubber tree). Lineage: Eukaryota; Viridiplantae; Streptophyta; Magnoliopsida; Malpighiales; Euphorbiaceae. The record is from RNAcentral.
UGGGCCUUUACGACGUUUUCAAAACCCGCUGGUCCACCACCGACGACGGCAAUCUCCCGCUCCACCGCAAGAUCGUCGCCGGUCUCAUCGCCGGCGGCAUUGGCGCCGCCGUCGGUAACCCGGCUGACGUCGCCAUGGUCCGGAUGCAGGCCGACGGCCGCCUCCCCCUCUCACAGCGCCGGAACUACGCCGGCGUCGGGGACGCCAUCCGCCGCAUGUCAGCGAGCGAGGGGAUUGGCAGCCUGUGGCGCGGAUCUUCACUCACCGUGAACCGUGCCAUGAUCGUGACGGCGUCGCAGCUGGCGACGUAUGAUGAAGCAAAGGAGGCGAUCAUCGCGCGUGGCGCCGGCAAUGGAUUGGGGACGCACGUUGCCGCCAGCCUGGCGGCUGGCGUGGUGGCGGCGGUGGCGUCGAAUCCGGUGGAUGUGGUGAAGACGAGGGUGAUGAAUAUGAGGGUGGAGCCUGGCGCGGCGCCGCCAUAUGCCGGAGCUGUGGAUUGCGCGGUGAAGACGGUGAGGGCGGAGGGGAUAAUGGCGUUGUACAAGGGGUUUGUGCCGACGGUGUCGCGGCAGGGGCCUUUCACAGUGGUGUUGUUCGUGACGUUGGAACAAGUCCGCCGACUGAUGAAAGAUUUUUGAGAUCUCAGAAACUCAAAAGAUGAAGACGACAAAGGAUUAUUAAUUGUCUUAUUUUUGCUCGAUUUUCUAUGGACCAUUUACUAAUUUUGAAAUGAUCUUAGUGCUGAG